GCAGUUCUCGAGAUUUCAAAUUUAAACGGUCAUCGAAAUUAUACUUUGUGGUCUUUGCGAUAGGAUAAUUAAAAAAAACUUAAGAUUUUAGCAAUUAGCCACUUAACUGAUAACAUAAUGGAAAAAUUACAGUCCAGAGACAAACUCAAAGUAAAACUUUAUGAUCAAGUAAUUGGCUUGCUAACGACAGACAAAAACUUCCGAGACAAAUUUGUCCACGCAUGCGAAAGCGAAAAGGAGAAAAGCAGCGGGGAUCAUGUCACCACAGUCGCACAAAUGGCUCUACACGAAGCCGAGGGCACCCCAGCUGUGCCUUCAAAGGAUGUGGAACCGGUGAUGAAACUAGAGGCAUCUAAGGUUGAUCCUCCUACAUUGAAACCCGUAGCCCCAACGCCAUCACGCAAAUUUAAGAUGCCUCAGCUUUCUAUCGACAUUUCGCCGUUAAAGAAAAUAUUAGCGAACUAUCGACUGAUGUCCUACAAACCUGUGUUUUACAAGCUUUUUACCAUUUUGGUGAUCAGCUUUAUCUUUUUGACUGUAUAUCUAUCUGGAAGCAGGCUCUGCAAUCCAAGUCAAUCAAGAAGAACAACUUGUUUGGCACUAGGACUGUGCUCGAACAGAAACGACCAGCAAAAUUCGAUUGCGAACAAAAUCAAGUCGAACGUCAUUUGUCCGAUUCACAAUGUUGUGGACCAAGUUGUCAGCAAGACAUCUGCCACCAUAAUGGGCUCUGAUGAUCCAUUCGGAACUGAAUCUUGGGUGCCUGGGAUAGAUCUCAGCGUUCUUAUAUUUUGAGGCUGCUGAUACUGCAGCUGAAGCGAAUUAGGUCCAGAGUGUAAAUUGUCCGUUAAAGUCCCAUUCUCAUGUUUCUCCGUCAAUAAACGAGCAAAUAUACUGGU
Molecule: long non-coding RNA, 899 nt
Filed under: Amphibalanus amphitrite
Lineage: Eukaryota; Metazoa; Arthropoda; Thecostraca; Balanomorpha; Balanidae
Description: uncharacterized LOC122388055
Source: RNAcentral